This 713-nucleotide ribosomal RNA is filed under the name uncultured marine eukaryote. RNAcentral describes it as "bacterial SSU rRNA". It matches the Rfam family "Eukaryotic small subunit ribosomal RNA", at positions 1 to 714 of the family's 1831-position model. The record is from RNAcentral.
UAUCUGGUUGAUCCUGCCAGUAGUGAUAUGCUGCUCUCAAAGAUUAAGCCAUGCAUGUCUCAGCCUCAGGUGCCAGAUAACUUCGCUGCGAAUGGCUCAUUAAAACAGCUAUAAUUAAUUUGCUCGUCCUGCCUUAGUUGGAUAACUGUGGCAAUUCUAGAGCUAAUACAUGGCUGCAGGUAUAAUUACAUUGUAAUACCGUGCUUAUUCGGCGCAGAAUUAACCCGAAUUUUCGGUGGAAGGGUGAUUCAUAAAAAGACUUACUGAGCGAAAGGUACUAGCCGUCGCCAGUUCAUUCAGAUAUCUGACCUAUCAGCUUUCGACGGUAGGGUCGUGGCCUAUCGUGGCGUUGACGGGUGACGGAGGAUUAGGGUUUGAUUCCGGAGAGGGAGCCCGAGAAACUGCUACCACAUCCAAGGAAGGCAGCAGGCGCGCAAAUUACCGACUACUAAUACAGCGAGGUAGUGACAAGCAAUAACAGGGCAACUCAGCAAUCUGACGUUGUGAUUGGGAUGAGCGGAAUACAGAUAUUUGCGCGACUACCGAUUGGAGGGCAAGUCUGGUGCCAGCAGCCCGCGGUAAUUCAGCUUCAAUAGCGUAUAUUAAAUUUGGUGCGGGUGAAAAACUCGUAAUUGGAUAUCUGGUGGAAGAAGGAGUCGUCGCUUCGCGGUAGUACCGAGUCCGAUUUUGGCAUAGCCCGGGAAAAAACGCUG